This 253-nucleotide ribosomal RNA is filed under the name uncultured bacterium. RNAcentral's name for it is "partial 16S ribosomal RNA". It matches the Rfam family "Bacterial small subunit ribosomal RNA", at positions 524 to 776 of the family's 1533-position model. The record is from RNAcentral.
GACGGAGGGUGCAAGCGUUGUUCGGAAUCAUUGGGCGUAAAGCGUGUGUAGGCGGCUUGGCAAGUCUGGGGUGAAAUACCGCAGCUUAACUUCGGAACUGCCCUCGAAACUGGCUGGCUCGAGUCCGGGAGAGGGUGGCGGAAUUCCCGGUGUAGCGGUGAAAUCCGUAGAUAUCGGGAGGAACACCUGUGGCGAAGGCGGGCUCCGGGGCGGUGACUGACGCUGAGGCGCGAUAGCGUGGGGAGCAAACAGG